This 103-nucleotide non-coding RNA is filed under the name Nitrosomonas cryotolerans. RNAcentral's name for it is "Glycine sequence". It matches the Rfam family "Glycine riboswitch aptamer". Rfam says of the family: This family represents the bacterial glycine riboswitch. Glycine riboswitches usually consist of two metabolite-binding aptamers domains with similar structures in tandem. RNAcentral also lists the same sequence under 1 other name. Lineage: Bacteria; Pseudomonadati; Pseudomonadota; Betaproteobacteria; Nitrosomonadales; Nitrosomonadaceae. The record is from RNAcentral.
GACAGGCAAUCUGGAGAGUGUCAAAUAAUUUUUGACCACCGAAGGGGCACACGGAUAAUCGUUCAUCCGUAAAUCUCUCAGGUAAAAGGACAGAGGGGCGGAG